This 412-nucleotide RNase P RNA is filed under the name Pseudonocardiales bacterium. Its description in RNAcentral is "RNase P RNA component class A". It matches the Rfam family "Bacterial RNase P class A". Rfam says of the family: Ribonuclease P (RNase P) is a ubiquitous endoribonuclease, found in archaea, bacteria and eukarya as well as chloroplasts and mitochondria. Lineage: Bacteria; Bacillati; Actinomycetota; Actinomycetes; Pseudonocardiales. The record is from RNAcentral.
CGAGCUGGCCGGGCGGCCGCGUUGCUGGGCCUGCGGGCCCGGUGCCGAGGAAAGUCCGGACUCCGCAGGGCAGGGUGGUUGCUAACGGCAACCCGGGGCAACCCGCGGGAAAGUGCCACAGAGAACAGACCGCCUCGCGCCGCGCGCGCGGGGUAAGGGUGAAACGGUGGUGUAAGAGACCACCAGCAUCCCGGGUGACCGGGAUGGCUUGGCAAACCCCACCCGGAGCAAGGCCAAGAGGCGGCUCGGUGCAAGCCGGGCCGCUGCGCAGGCGUUCGAGGGCUGCCCGCCCGAUGCCUGCGGGUAGGCCGCACAGAGCCCGCCGGCAACGGCGGGACUAGAUGGAUGGCCGCCCACCGGAGCGCCGCAAGGCGCCCGGGGACAGGAUCCGGCUUACAGGCCAGCUCGUCCG